RNAcentral lists this ribosomal RNA (623 nucleotides) under Steinernema sp. eKS11.2_TH. RNAcentral's name for it is "eukaryotic LSU rRNA". It matches the Rfam family "Eukaryotic large subunit ribosomal RNA", at positions 184 to 814 of the family's 3401-position model. Lineage: Eukaryota; Metazoa; Nematoda; Chromadorea; Rhabditida; Steinernematidae. RNAcentral also lists the same sequence under 8 other names. The record is from RNAcentral.
AUUCUCUUUGACUAGGGAUCCAAAGAGGGUGCUAGACCCUUACGCAUUGUUGACUUUUCGUACGCGUUCGUUUCUUGGAGUAGGGUUGUUUUGGAUCGCAGCCCAAAGUAGGUGGUAUACUUCAUCUAAAGCUAAAUACGACUACGAAUCCGAUAGCAAACAAGUACCGUGAGGGAAAGUUGCAAAGUACUUUGAAGAGAGAGUUCAAGAGGACGUGAAACCGGUAGGAUGGAAGCAGAUAAAGUUGACGAACGUGUGUCGUAUUCAGAACUACAAUUUGUGGUUUGUUUUUACGAUCGAUGUGGGCUGGCGUCUUUGGUUAACUUAGUGUCUGGCGGCAAUGGUGACCCUGCGGAGGGAUAAUCGGUUGUCGUGCGAUGCUUGGUAUGGCUAGAGGUUCGCUGGUCUUAUAGUCAUCGCUUUAUCUGACCCGUCUUGAAACACGGACCAAGGAGUGUAGCGCUUACGCGAGUCUUAGAGUGUGUCAAAACUUUGAGGCGUAACGAAAGUAAAUGUGGAUUUAUUCACUGACUUGGGAUGCGUUGUCUUUUUUGGAUAGCGUUGGACCAUGGUUUUAUCGUAAUCGCUUGCGAUGCGGUGAAAAUAGAGCGUAAGCGGUGCGA